This 274-nucleotide ribosomal RNA is filed under the name uncultured bacterium. RNAcentral describes it as "partial 16S ribosomal RNA". It matches the Rfam family "Bacterial small subunit ribosomal RNA", at positions 523 to 796 of the family's 1533-position model. The record is from RNAcentral.
AUACGGGGGGUGCAAGCGUUAAUGGGAAUUACUGGGCGUAAAGCGCGCGUAGGCGGUUUGCUCAGUCGGAUGUGAAAGCCCAGGGCUCAACCUUGGAACUGCAUACGAUACUGGCAAACUAGAGUGUGAGAGAGGAUAGUGGAAUUUCCGGUGUAGCGGUGAAAUGCGUAGAUAUCGGAAGGAACAUCAGUGGCGAAGGCGACUGUCUGGCUCAACACUGACGCUGAGGUGCGAAAGCGUGGGUAGCAAACAGGAUUAGAAACCCCAGUAGUCC